GGUUAAGCGACUAAGCGUACACGGUGGAUGCCCUGGCAGUCAGAGGCGAUGAAGGACGUGCUAAUCUGCGAAAAGCGUCGGUAAGGUGAUAUGAACCGUUAUAACCGGCGAUGUCCGAAUGGGGAAACCCAGUGCAAUUCGUUGCACUAUCGUUAACUGAAUACAUAGGUUAACGAGGCGAACCGGGGGAACUGAAACAUCUAAGUACCCCGAGGAAAAGAAAUCAACCGAGAUUCCCCCAGUAGCGGCGAGCGAACGGGGAGCAGCCCAGAGUCUGAAUCAGCUUGUGUGUUAGUGGAACGGUCUGGAAAGUCCGACGGUACAGGGUGAUAGUCCCGUACACCAAAAUGCACAGGCUGUGAACUCGAAGAGUAGGGCGGGACACGUGGUAUCCUGUCUGAAUAUGGGGGGACCAUCCUCCAAGGCUAAAUACUCCUGACUGACCGAUAGUGAACCAGUACCGUGAGGGAAAGGCGAAAAGAACCCCGGCGAGGGGAGUGAAAAAGAACCUGAAACCGUGUACGUACAAGCAGUGGGAGCACCUUCGGGUGUGACUGCGUACCUUUUGUAUAAUGGGUCAGCGACUUAUAUUCUGUAGCAAGGUUAACCGUAUAGGGGAGCCGCAGGGAAACCGAGUCUUAACUGGGCGUUAAGUUGCAGGGUAUAGACCCGAAACCCGGUGAUCUAGCCAUGGGCAGGUUGAAGGUUGGGUAACACUAACUGGAGGACCGAACCGACUAAUGUUGAAAAAUUAGCGGAUGACUUGUGGCUGGGGGUGAAAGGCCAAUCAAACCGGGAGAUAGCUGGUUCUCCCCGAAAGCUAUUUAGGUAGCGCCUCGUGAACUCAUCUUCGGGGGUAGAGCACUGUUUCGGCUAGGGGGUCAUCCCGACUUACCAACCCGAUGCAAACUACGAAUACCGAAGAAUGUUAUCACGGGAGACACACGGCGGGUGCUAACGUCCGUCGUGAAGAGGGAAACAACCCAGACCGCCAGCUAAGGUCCCAAAGUCAUGGUUAAGUGGGAAACGAUGUGGGAAGGCACAGACAGCCAGGAUGUUGGCUUAGAAGCAGCCAUCAUUUAAAGAAAGCGUAAUAGCUCACUGGUCGAGUCGGCCUGCGCGGAAGAUGUAACGGGGCUAAACCAUGCACCGAAGCUGCGGCAGCGACACUAUGUGUUGUUGGGUAGGGGAGCGUUCUGUAAGCCUGCGAAGGUGACCUGUGAGGGUUGCUGGAGGUAUCAGAAGUGCGAAUGCUGACAUAAGUAACGAUAAAGCGGGUGAAAAGCCCGCUCGCCGGAAGACCAAGGGUUCCUGUCCAACGUUAAUCGGGGCAGGGUGAGUCGACCCCUAAGGCGAGGCCGAAAGGCGUAGUCGAUGGGAAACAGGUUAAUAUUCCUGUACUUGGUGUUACUGCGAAGGGGGGACGGAGAAGGCUAUGUUAGCCGGGCGACGGUUGUCCCGGUUUAAGCAUGUAGGCUGGUUGUCCAGGCAAAUCCGGAUAAUCAAGGCUGAGGUGUGAUGACGAGGCACUACGGUGCUGAAGUAACAAAUGCCCUGCUUCCAGGAAAAGCCUCUAAGCAUCAGGUAACAUUAAAUCGUACCCCAAACCGACACAGGUGGUCAGGUAGAGAAUACCAAGGCGCUUGAGAGAACUCGGGUGAAGGAACUAGGCAAAAUGGUGCCGUAACUUCGGGAGAAGGCACGCUGGUGUGUAGGUGAAGCCCCUGCGGGUGGAGCUGAGACCAGUCGAAGAUACCAGCUGGCUGCAACUGUUUAUUAAAAACACAGCACUGUGCAAACACGAAAGUGGACGUAUACGGUGUGACGCCUGCCCGGUGCCGGAAGGUUAAUUGAUGGGGUUAUCCGUAAGGAGAAGCUCUUGAUCGAAGCCCCGGUAAACGGCGGCCGUAACUAUAACGGUCCUAAGGUAGCGAAAUUCCUUGUCGGGUAAGUUCCGACCUGCACGAAUGGCGUAAUGAUGGCCAGGCUGUCUCCACCCGAGACUCAGUGAAAUUGAACUCGCUGUGAAGAUGCAGUGUACCCGCGGCAAGACGGAAAGACCCCGUGAACCUUUACUAUAGCUUGACACUGAACAUUGAGCCUUGAUGUGUAGGAUAGGUGGGAGGCUUUGAAGCGUGGACGCCAGUCUGCGUGGAGCCAACCUUGAAAUACCACCCUUUAAUGUUUGAUGUUCUAACGUUGGCCCCUGACCGGGGUUGCGGACAGUGUCUGGUGGGUAGUUUGACUGGGGCGGUCUCCUCCCAAAGCGUAACGGAGGAGCACGAAGGUUAGCUAAUCCUGGUCGGACAUCAGGAGGUUAGUGCAAUGGCAUAAGCUAGCUUGACUGCGAGCGUGACGGCGCGAGCAGGUGCGAAAGCAGGUCAUAGUGAUCCGGUGGUUCUGAAUGGAAGGGCCAUCGCUCAACGGAUAAAAGGUACUCCGGGGAUAACAGGCUGAUACCGCCCAAGAGUUCAUAUCGACGGCGGUGUUUGGCACCUCGAUGUCGGCUCAUCACAUCCUGGGGCUGAAGUAGGUCCCAAGGGUAUGGCUGUUCGCCAUUUAAAGUGGUACGCGAGCUGGGUUUAGAACGUCGUGAGACAGUUCGGUCCCUAUCUGCCGUGGGCGCUGGAGAAUUGAGGGGGGCUGCUCCUAGUACGAGAGGACCGGAGUGGACGCAUCACUGGUGUUCGGGUUGUCAUGCCAAUGGCACUGCCCGGUAGCUAAAUGCGGAAGAGAUAAGUGCUGAAAGCAUCUAAGCACGAAACUUGCCCCGAGAUGAGUUCUCCCUGAGACUUUAAGUCUCCUGAAGGAACGUUAAAGACGAUGACGUUGAUAGGCCGGGUGUGUAAGCGCAGCGAUGCGUUGAGCUAACCGGUACUAAUGAACCGUGAGGCUUAACCUU
This 2902-nucleotide ribosomal RNA is filed under the name Klebsiella pneumoniae. Its description in RNAcentral is "23S ribosomal RNA". It matches the Rfam family "Bacterial large subunit ribosomal RNA". Lineage: Bacteria; Pseudomonadati; Pseudomonadota; Gammaproteobacteria; Enterobacterales; Enterobacteriaceae. The record is from RNAcentral.